CAUAGCGACUAUCGUGGCAUAUCAAUAAGCGGAGGAAAAGAAACUAACAAGGAUUCCCCUAGUAACGGCGAGUGAAGCGGGAAGAGCUCAAAUUUGAAAUCUUCAAGGGUUUCCCUUUACGAAUUGUAGUUUAAAGAAGUGUUUUCUGUUAGAGAGUUCGGUAAAAGUUCUUUGGAAUAGGACAUCAUAGAGGGUGAGAAUCCCGUAUUUGACGUCACUUUCUACUAGCGUUGUGAUACACUUUCAAAGAGUCGGAUUGUUUGGGAAUGCAGUCCAAAAUGGGUGGUAAAUUUCAUCUAAAGCUAAAUAUUGGCGAGAGACCGAUAGCGAACAAGUACCGUGAGGGAAAGAUGAAAAGAACUUUGAAAAGAGAGUUAAACAGUACGUGAAAUUGUCAAAAGGGAAGCGUUUGACACCAGUGUUGUUUAGUUGAAAAUCAAUUCAAUAAUUUUUGAUUUUAAGUAGUAUUGACUUCAUCAGCUUGCUGCUUUCUUUUCAGGAAUUAUUGAAUGCACUUUUCAGUUAACAAGUCAACAUCAAUUUCUUUUGUUGUAAAAGGGUAAGAGGAAGGCGGCUUACGCUUCGGCGUAAGUGUUUAUAGCCUUUUACCUCUGCAAUCGGAGAGAUUGAGGACAGCAGCGUAGACUCUUCGGGGUUAGAUACACUUGUGCUAAGCUAUAGCCUUGUAUAGACAACUUGUUGACUAUGCUCAGUCAUGUAGCUUACUCGCUUGUGCUAUUUUACCUACGCUUAGGAUGUUGAAGAUAUGCGCGACACG
RNAcentral lists this ribosomal RNA (778 nucleotides) under uncultured Neocallimastigales. RNAcentral describes it as "partial large subunit ribosomal RNA". It matches the Rfam family "Eukaryotic large subunit ribosomal RNA", at positions 22 to 644 of the family's 3401-position model. Lineage: Eukaryota; Fungi; Neocallimastigomycota; Neocallimastigomycetes; Neocallimastigales. The record is from RNAcentral.